This 71-nucleotide transfer RNA is filed under the name Camelus bactrianus (Bactrian camel). It matches the Rfam family "tRNA". From Rfam's summary of the family: Transfer RNA (tRNA) molecules are approximately 80 nucleotides in length. Their secondary structure includes four short double-helical elements and three loops (D, anti-codon, and T loops). RNAcentral also lists the same sequence under 2 other names. Lineage: Eukaryota; Metazoa; Chordata; Mammalia; Artiodactyla; Camelidae. The record is from Rfam by way of RNAcentral.
GGAGUAUUGCUUAGUGGUAGAGUGAGUGCUUAGCAUGCACAAGGUCCUAGGUUCAAUCCCCAGUACCUUCA